UAGGGAAUCUUCGGCAAUGGACGAAAGUCUGACCGAGCAACGCCGCGUGAGUGAAGAAGGUUUUCGGAUCGUAAAACUCUGUUGUUAGAGAAGAAAAAGGACGUUAGUAACUGAACGUCCCCUGACGGUAUCUAACCAGAAAGCCACGGCUAACUACGUGCCAGCAGCCGCGGUAAUACGUAGGUGGCAAGCGUUGUCCGGAUUUAUUGGGCGUAAAGCGAGCGCAGGCGGUUUCUUAAGUCUGAUGUGAAAGCCCCCGGCUCAACCGGGGAAGGUCAUUAGAAACUGGGAGACUUGAGUGCAGAAGAGGAGAGUGGAAUUCCAUGUGUAGCGGUGAAAUGCGUAGAUAUAUGGAGGAACACCAGUGGCGAAGGCGGCUCUCUGGUCUGUAACUGACGCUGAGGCGCGAAAGCGUGGGGAGCAAACAGG
This 429-nucleotide ribosomal RNA is filed under the name Gemmatimonadota bacterium. Its description in RNAcentral is "Gemmatimonadetes bacterium partial 16S ribosomal RNA". It matches the Rfam family "Bacterial small subunit ribosomal RNA", at positions 355 to 776 of the family's 1533-position model. The record is from RNAcentral. Lineage: Bacteria; Pseudomonadati; Gemmatimonadota.